GAAAACCCAAACAAUACCUAUAAAACAACGUUUUAUAUACAGCCAUUACUCAUGUAUAAUGUUAUGAAUGCCAUUCCCUUCCUAUUUUCAGUCUCUUUUCCUUCUCCGUCUCAGCGUCGCCUUCUCCUCUUUAUGUUUUUUCUCUUCCCAAUUCUCUUAGUUUCAACCUAGAGAGGCGGAGACCCAUUUUCGUUUCUUCUCCUUCGGCUUCUUCUGCAGAUCCAGAUGCCCGCAAGCGUAAAUGAAGACAGAUACGCCUUAUUUUACAGAUGAAACUCGCGAAUCAUAUGUGACCUCUGAUCUCUGUCCUUGAUGCUUCGUGGAUACCAAAACACAUAUGGGUAUGCUGCUUGCUCUGGGUGUAUACUACUAGCUUUCUGAUCCUCGAUAAUGUUAUGGCUUUGUAUAAUUGAUUGUUGAUUAAUUUGUAAAUGGAAAUGGUUUGUUCUAGGUUUUAAACAAUUGCUGCUUGAUUUGCUUUUUGCACUUUCUAAUUGGGUUUUGAUUGAAAGAAUUACUGGGUGAUGUUGCAUCACAGGGGAUGAUACAUUUAGGUUUUUGCAAUUCUG
RNAcentral lists this long non-coding RNA (569 nucleotides) under Manihot esculenta (cassava). RNAcentral describes it as "long non-coding RNA (MESC_LNC010142)". Lineage: Eukaryota; Viridiplantae; Streptophyta; Magnoliopsida; Malpighiales; Euphorbiaceae. The record is from RNAcentral.